AUCCUCAAUGCAUCUGGAAUCAAUCGAUUUGUUCGGUAUUCACAUAGAGCACCGGCACCGCCGCUGCGUACCAUAGUGUAACUGGGAGAAGGAGAGGCCGGGGGUGGCGCCAGAGGGCUUGCUCGUCCAACGCCGCGCGCCGGAGGGCGCUGCCUGGCGUCGCUGCGUCCCGGGCCGCUGCGUCGACGUUGCUGUAGUGUCGUGGGCUGGUCGUGGCUACCGGUGCCGCCGCGGUGGAGAUCGCCGUUCUAGGCGCCGGCCAUUGGUUACCCCGAGGACACGCCGCCUGUACUGGAGGGUAUGCCGCGCCGUGGUCGUGCUCCGCCUGAGGGAGGAGCGCCGCAUCGAAUGCUGCAUCCGAGAGGUGGAGGACGCCGUCGUCGCCAAACGACGAGAAGCAUGUCCAUUGAUUACUGCCGUGGACGGGAAUAUGGCUAAUCGAAUCGGCGGCAUUCUUCUCUUCUCCUGUGGUCAUUUCUCAGCGGAGAGCAAAAGUGCUGAUAACGUGUUUAGAGAGAAACGAGAGAGGGAGAGCAAAUGAUGGAAAGGAUAUUCUCAUUGAUUGAAGAUUGGGUAUAUAUACCCUAGUACAAGGCGGUUUACAAGGAGCGGUUACCAAACUGUGGAACCGACAUAGCAGUGAUUAUUAACUAAUAAUUAUUCUAAUUAAUUAUUUCCUAA
Molecule: long non-coding RNA, 681 nt
Organism: Triticum aestivum (bread wheat)
Lineage: Eukaryota; Viridiplantae; Streptophyta; Magnoliopsida; Poales; Poaceae
Exons: 2
Source: RefSeq, a predicted model, not a curated record